RNAcentral lists this ribosomal RNA (460 nucleotides) under uncultured bacterium. RNAcentral describes it as "partial 16S ribosomal RNA". It matches the Rfam family "Bacterial small subunit ribosomal RNA", at positions 338 to 795 of the family's 1533-position model. The record is from RNAcentral.
CCUACGGGAGGCAGCAGUGAGGAAUAUUGGUCAAUGGGCGCGAGCCUGAACCAGCCAAGCAGCGUGAAGGAUGACUGCCCUACGGGUUGUAAACUUCUUUUAUAAAGGAAUAAAGUCAGGCACGCGUGCCUUUUUGUAUGUACUUUAUGAAUAAGGAUCGGCUAACUCCGUGCCAGCAGCCGCGGUAAUACGGAGGAUCCGAGCGUUAUCCGGAUUUAUUGGGUUUAAAGGGAGCGUAGAUGGGUUGUUAAGUCAGGUGUGAAAGGUUGCGGCUCAACCGCAAAAUUGCAGUUGAUACUGGCAGUCUUGAGUACGGGUGAGGUAGGCGGAAUGCGUGGUGUAGCGGUGAAAUGCUUAGAUAUCACGAAGAACUCCGAUUGCGAAGGCAGCUUACUAAACUGCCACUGACGUUGAGGCUCGAAAGUGUGGGUAUCGAACAGGAUUAGAUACCCUUGUAGUC